AGCAGCCGCGGUAAUUCCAGCUCCAAUAGCGUAUAUUAAAGUUGUUGCAGUUAAAAAGCUCGUAGUUGAAUUUCGGGGUCUAUCCAUUGGUCGGGCUUUACGGUCCGUACUGGUGUGAUGGAUUCCUACCUUCUGAAUAACCGGCAUGCUAUUAAUUUGGUGCGCUGGGGAAGCAGGACUGUUACCUUGAAAAAAUUAGAGUGCUUAAAGCAGGCUAUUGCCUGAAUACAUUAGCAUGGAAUAAUGAAAUAGGACGGCAUGGUUCUAUUUUGUUGGUUUCUAGGAUCACCGUAAUGAUUAAUAGGGAUAGUUGGGGGCAUUAGUAUUCAAUUGUCAGAGGUGAAAUUCUUGGAUUUAUUGAAGACUAACUUCUGCGAAAGCAUUUGCCAAGGAUGUUUUCAUUAAUCAAGAACGAAAGUUAGGGGAUCGAAGACGAUCAGAUACCGUCGUAGUCUUAACCAUAAACUAUGCCGACUA
This 477-nucleotide ribosomal RNA is filed under the name uncultured Acaulospora. Its description in RNAcentral is "SSU rRNA". It matches the Rfam family "Eukaryotic small subunit ribosomal RNA", at positions 569 to 1048 of the family's 1831-position model. Lineage: Eukaryota; Fungi; Glomeromycota; Glomeromycetes; Diversisporales; Acaulosporaceae. The record is from RNAcentral.